This is a long non-coding RNA of Leopardus geoffroyi (Geoffroy's cat), 2042 nucleotides long. RefSeq lists it as uncharacterized. The record is from RefSeq and is a predicted model, not a curated record. Lineage: Eukaryota; Metazoa; Chordata; Mammalia; Carnivora; Felidae. The transcript has 2 exons.
GCCGUGAGAUCAUGACCUGAGCCAAAGUUGGAUGCUUAACCGACUGAGCCACCAGGUGCCCCUUUAGACCACAUAUUAUAGCUACCUGAAAAGCAUUUCUAGUCAGACCAUGAGUUUCUGUCACUGUGCUUGAGUUAUAUAGCUUUUACUGCCACCUUUAAUUUGCUACACUUAGUGAAUGCCUUCUACAAAAGUAUAGCCAAGAUAAAAUUCUAUGAAAACACUAAAUGCUUUUUUCUGAGUACUUCCUCUUAUGGGAGAUUGUUGGAUGAGGCCAGAACUUGGGAGGACCAAUGUAAUUAUUAAAAGUAGCCAGAACAUUUACACAUGCACGCUUGUGUGCACACAUACAAACAAAUCUCUUUCUCUCUUUUUUGUUGUAAGAUUGCCUUUAUCUUUUACCCUUCCGAUCCCAAAAUUGCUAGAGGCUAUUGAGAAAUCUGAGGCACCUUACUGAGACACCUGUUUGUUAAUGACAUCAUCAGAGGGCAUAUACAGUGCCUAUCCUAUUCUUUCUAGACGGUCCCACACGCAAGCAGGCACUUACAUAAUAAUGCUACCAUUUAAUAAGUACCAUGUGAUCAUUUGCAACCAAUGUGAGAAAUUUCCCUCAGAGCUUUUUAAACUAUGACCUCCAAAGGCAUUCAGGGCCAAGUGAAGUGAAUGUCUGCCUCUUGCUUGCCAGGAACUUACUUUCCGCUGUAUUUCACGAACCUUUUUCCUGCUUGGGUAUGAUCGCGGGUGCUAGGGAGUAAUGUUUUCGGCCCACAUGGGUCACUGUAAUGUCUUCUCAGUGGAAGAUCACUCAGAAGACAAGUAUGAUGACAGCCGUCGUAUUUAGUGCCUAGCAGUGCUGGUAGUAGCCAGCUGUACUUCUGGUCCUGAAACUUGAUACUGCAAGAUGAAGUGACAGCCAACUGAAUACACAAAAAUUCCUGCUAGGUAGGAUAAUAGGUGCAUUUUUGUUAAAUAGGUAAGAAGAGAAUAGCUACCCUUUAUUAAGAGCUUAUUUUGAGCUAGGCGUUAGGUACCUAAUCUCAUUUAAUUAUCCACAGCUAUUAUCAUUCCUAUGGUAUUGAUGAAAAAUCCAGAGCUUGGAGAGGUUAAGUAACAUUACCAGUGCACUGUGGCCAGGAUUCCAGCCCAGGUGGUCCUACUCUAGAGCCUAUGCCCGUUCUCACCUGACCGGGCAGCCUAAGUGGGUGCCUGUUGUGACUUCUUUUUAGACAUGUAAGCCUUACACUGGAACUUUUUUUUUUUCCUGAAAUGCCAGUAAGUCAUAUUCUCUCUCUUUUUAACAUUCAGCAAACCAAGAAGGUCAAGGAGGGAGGACAUAGGCUAAAAUAUUCUAAAAUAAACCUAAGGUGUAGCAUGAAAUUACAUAACCAAGAAGUGGAAUGUUUUGGUUACUGGGUGGUACUCUGUUCUUGGAACGAUUUUCUAUGUCUAUUUUUUUUUCAGUUGUUUUUUGCUUUUUUAAUCAGCUGCCCAAAAUACCACAGACAACUGUGGUAUUAUAUAUACAUGAGCUUAGAUGUGAGAUGUUUUAUUCUUUCCUUUGUUUUAUUUUAACACUACUACUUUUUUUUUUUUUUUUUUACAAUUCUCAUAACAGCUUUGACAGAUUUAAAUGAGUUUUUCUUUUUAAGACUAAAUUCUGUAUUCUCCGCAGACCUCUUGUUUUUAAUGUUUAUUUAUUUGAGAGAGAGAGCGCACAUGCGUGUGCAUGCAUGCAAGCAGGGGAGGGGCAGAGAGAGAGAGAGAGAGAGAGGGAGAGAGAAUCCCAAGCAUGCUCUGUGAUAACAGCCUGGAAGCCUGAUGAGGGACUUGAUCUCAGGAACUAGAAGAUCAUUCUUGAGCCAAAAUCAAGAAUCGGAUGUUAAACCAACUGAGCCACCCAGGAUCUCUUUAUACUUACUGAUUGAAUGGGAAAUGUAAGAAAUCAAGUGAUACUUCUAGAAGGUACUUCUCAGUUUACAAAGUACUUUUUCAGUUUUGCCUUCAUAUUAUUAUUUUGCUGACUUCUCAUAACAGUCCAUAAA